RNAcentral lists this microRNA precursor (84 nucleotides) under Bombyx mori (domestic silkworm). RNAcentral describes it as "mir-2807 microRNA precursor family". It matches the Rfam family "mir-2807 microRNA precursor family". The record is from Rfam by way of RNAcentral. Lineage: Eukaryota; Metazoa; Arthropoda; Insecta; Lepidoptera; Bombycidae.
UUAACUCAAAUUAGUAUGGAUUAGUAACGUUCGCCUACGGUUGCCGCUAGGGGCGCCGUUCCAACUGCAUACAAAUUUGAGUUA